AUGUUCAGUCUCAGUGGGAACC
RNAcentral lists this microRNA (22 nucleotides) under Sus scrofa (pig). RNAcentral describes it as "ssc-miR-4338". Lineage: Eukaryota; Metazoa; Chordata; Mammalia; Artiodactyla; Suidae. The record is from miRBase by way of RNAcentral.